UCUUAGUGAUAAAACUUUGCCCAGUUCUGUUACUGACUUUAAGUGAUGAUAAACUGUCUGAGGGGG
This is a small nucleolar RNA of Callithrix jacchus (white-tufted-ear marmoset), 66 nucleotides long. The record is from Ensembl. NCBI's taxonomy places the organism in Eukaryota, Metazoa, Chordata, Mammalia, Primates, Cebidae.